RNAcentral lists this microRNA (21 nucleotides) under Schistosoma japonicum. RNAcentral describes it as "miRNA-3104". The record is from RNAcentral. Lineage: Eukaryota; Metazoa; Platyhelminthes; Trematoda; Strigeidida; Schistosomatidae.
UGGGCAUAGGGCUAGCAUCCU